CAUGCAGUCGAACGCUUUUUCUUUCACCGGAGCUUGCUCCAUCGAAAGAAGAGGAGUGGCGAACGGGUGAGUAACACGUGGGUAACCUGCCCAUCAGAAGGGGAUAACACUUGGAAACAGGUGCUAAUACCGUAUAACAGUAGAAACCGCAUGGUUUCUAUUUGAAAGGCGCUUUUGCGUCACUGAUGGAUGGACCCGCGGUGCAUUAGCUAGUUGGUGAGGUAACGGCUCACCAAGGCAACGAUGCAUAGCCGACCUGAGAGGGUGAUCGGCCACAUUGGGACUGAGACACGGCCCAAACUCCUACGGGAGGCAGCAGUAGGGAAUCUUCGGCAAUGGACGAAAGUCUGACCGAGCAACGCCGCGUGAGUGAAGAAGGUUUUCGGAUCGUAAAACUCUGUUGUUAGAGAAGAACAAGGAUGAGAGUAAAACGUUCAUCCCUUGACGGUAUCUAACCAGAAAGCCACGGCUAACUACGUGCCAGCAGCCGCGGUAAUACGUAGGUGGCAAGCGUUGUCCGGAUUUAUUGGGCGUAAAGCGAGCGCAGGCGGUUUCUUAAGUCUGAUGUGAAAGCCCCCGGCUCAACCGGGGAGGGUCAUUGGAAACUGGGAAACUUGAGUGCAGAAGAGGAGAGUGGAAUUCCAUGUGUAGCGGUGAAAUGCGUAGAUAUAUGGAGGAACACCAGUGGCGAAGGCGGCUCUCUGGUCUGUAACUGACGCUGAGGCUCGAAAGCGUGGGGAGCAAACAGGAUUAGAUACCCUGGUAGUCCACGCCGUAAACGAUGAGUGCUAAGUGUUGGAGGGUUUCCGCCCUUCAGUGCUGCAGCUAACGCAUUAAGCACUCCGCCUGGGGAGUACGACCGCAAGGUUGAAACUCAAAGGAAUUGACGGGGGCCCGCACAAGCGGUGGAGCAUGUGGUUUAAUUCGAAGCAACGCGAAGAACCUUACCAGGUCUUGACAUCCUUUGACCACUCUAGAGAUAGAGCUUCCCCUUCGGGGGCAAAGUGACAGGUGGUGCAUGGUUGUCGUCAGCUCGUGUCGUGAGAUGUUGGGUUAAGUCCCGCAACGAGCGCAACCCUUAUGUUAGUUGCCAUCAUUUAGUUGGGCACUCUAGCGAGACUGCCG
This 1125-nucleotide ribosomal RNA is filed under the name Enterococcus malodoratus. Its description in RNAcentral is "bacterial SSU rRNA". It matches the Rfam family "Bacterial small subunit ribosomal RNA", at positions 54 to 1154 of the family's 1533-position model. The record is from RNAcentral. Lineage: Bacteria; Bacillati; Bacillota; Bacilli; Lactobacillales; Enterococcaceae.